RNAcentral lists this non-coding RNA (117 nucleotides) under Pan troglodytes (chimpanzee). Lineage: Eukaryota; Metazoa; Chordata; Mammalia; Primates; Hominidae. The record is from Rfam by way of RNAcentral.
GCUGGGCGUGGUGGUGGGCACCUGUAAUCCCAGCUACUUGGGAGGCCGAGGCGGGUGGAUCACCUGAGGUCAGGAGUUCUAGACCAGCCUGGCCAACAUGGUGAAACCCCAUCUCUA